Molecule: long non-coding RNA, 1071 nt
Filed under: Anas platyrhynchos platyrhynchos (common mallard)
Lineage: Eukaryota; Metazoa; Chordata; Aves; Anseriformes; Anatidae
Description: lncRNA (ENSAPLG00000017172.1)
Source: RNAcentral
CCCCUUCUUUUUGGGGGGGGCUGAAACACCCCUGUACCCCCCUGUAGGGUGCUGGGGGCCAUUUGGGACACCCGGACCUGUCCCUUUUUGCCGAGCUGCUCCAGUAACAUGACAUUAAUCAGCUGAGCAGCCCGGGGGGGGCACCAGGAGGGGCAUUUCCCCCCUCCAGCCUUCCAAACAGGCACCGGGGUUGUGCACCGGGGGUUCCCGGUGCCCCCCACUCCCCGUUUCGCCCCCCCUUUUGGCCUUUUUUACGAUCCCCACCCCAAAGCCGGGGCCGGGACGCGCUGUUCCAGCCGGGUUUGUUUGUGCCGCGGAGCUUGGCACCGCCGGGCGCUGCCGGAACAAACCCAGCUCCCUUCCCGCUGCCAAGAAUUCGCUUCCCCCACAAGGACGCGUUCCCUGGGGCCAAGGGAAGGGGUUUUGGGGUUGGGAUUUGCCUCGCCGGGCCCCGGAGCAGCCCCGUCCUGCUGCUUAUGGGGUCAAAGGGGAGGCGGUGAUGGGGUUGGGGCGCGUGGGGUGGAUGCACGUCCCCAAUUCUUUGACGAUUUGGGGCAGAAGUGCGUCAGGGCAGUGGGGACAAGGCGUAACCACAGCUUCCUCCUCCCCUGUCCCCGCCUGACUCUUGGGGUGGUGACUUGGGGACUUGGCAGCGCUUUGGGGUCCCCAAAACCCCGGGGUUCUUGGCGUUGGCAGCUCCUCGGGCUCCUCGCUGCCCCACCUGGAGGAGAAAACCCCAUCCCAGGGGCUCUUGUGGUUUCCUCCCCACACCUUUUAUCCCCCGUGGAGUUUCCCCCAUCCCACGGCCACCUGCAGCGGGGUCGGGCAGGGAUUCCCCCGGCCCUUUUUUGGGGGGGCUGGUGACUUUCCUCGCAGCCCCGUGCCCGGUGUCCCGCUUUCGUCACGUCGCGGUGACACGGCGCCGGGGCUGACGUUGCACCGAGGUGGCCUUUGGACGGGGUGACAGCGGGGCACGGCCUCACCUCCCCAAGGGGGACGCGAUAUGGGGGCGAAUUUUGGCCCCCGUUUGCAGCAUCGUGCCCCCCUUCAGGCAGAAAAUCCCACUGAGGC